CAGUUGGCAGAGCGGAGGACUGUAGUUGGUUUUAAAUUGCAAAUGGGCUUAGUCGGAUCUGAGUUGUAAAGAGAAGACAAGGUUACCAAUAAGGUAGUGCUUACUAAAAAAUGACUUCUUCUGCAACAAUGGCUCCUCACUGUAAUCAGGUUUUACAUUGCAAAUGGGCUUAGUCGGAUCUGAGUUGUAGUGCUUACUAAAAAAUGACUUCUUCUGCAACAAUGGCUCCUCACUGUAAUCAGUUUGAUUCAUACAUUUCGAUUCAGUUUACUAUGGAUUUUUUUGGGUUUCAAUUGUGUUGUGUGAUUAUUGGGAUUUGCUUACAUCAGUUGCCUAUAUUUUUGGUUAUUCAUUAUGUUGUGUUGCUGCUUGUUUUUAUGUUUGUUGUUUUAGUAUGAAUGUUGUAAUUUGGGGUUGGUUUGUAUAUGAAGUGCAAAGAAAUCCAAAUUUUGUUUAAUAGUUUGGUGAUUGAGUUUUGGGGAUUUGUAUUGAUAUUUGAUUUAAUUGGGAUUUUAUAUCUAUAUUUGAUUUAAGAGUUUUGGUUUGCUGCAUGAAUUAGUGCGUGAGUAAAUAGCUUUCAAGUGUCUUUACUGUUCAUUUUAUGACAGAACGAGUAGAUCAACCUGAAAUGAUAUUCAAGUAUUGCUCAAAUAGUCUGUUUUUAUUUUUUUCGAAAGGAGAAAGAGGUCACUUGUAUAGACUGACCCCUCUCCCAAAAUGUAUUGAAAACCUCACUUUUUGCGGAGGAAAACCAUGGUUACAGAGUUUUAGCACAAAACAACCAAAACGAAUAUUAUUCAAACAAGACAUAAGCAUAUAAAGUACUAUUAGACAAAGCUAUACAUCUGAUUUUUAGCUAUGGAUUCUGGAGGAGUAAGGAAAGGGACAAUAGCUUAGGAUGUAUUUCUACUCAAAAAUCUUUCUUGACUCUUUCAUAACGGUGAAGCAUGACUGUCAUAUCUGAUUUUGAUUUUUGGGUAUGAUUGUUGAAUCUAAGGAGUGGUCUGUUCUUUGAUUCUUGAGUUUUCUUUUGAUCUGUUCUUUGUUCUGAAGUCACUCUAAACAGUGAUGAAUACCCUAGUAACUACUAAGAAAGAGCCAAGUAAGAAUUUUGGAAUAGGAAACUAUAUCAUGAAGGUGAAAAUGGUCAAGGUAAGGGAUACGAAAUACCCUAGGUGUACUUAGUAACAUGUGGGUACAUUUGUAUAAUUAAUACAAUAGUUGUCGUUUUAGGAUUUCAUAUGAGAAGUAAAAUUUGCUUGAUUUCCAAAGACUUUGGUUGUUGAUGAUUGAAUAUUGAUAAUGGUCUUCUAGUUUGCAGCGGUCCCUGACUGUUCCCGACAUUGUUCGCACCAUGCUUAUGCAGAGGCUGUAUCAGAAAACAAGGCUUCUUGUGUGUACCAAAUACCCUUUCUCUCUUUCUUUCAAACCGGGCACCCGUUUUAGCCUCCUUUCAUGGAAAACUUACUUAAGGGUACUUGGAACUGUACAAAGCCAAUCAUCUUCCACACCUUCUGCUGAUUCCAGCCAAUAUGGCUUGAAUCAUAAAUCCAACAGUCAAACGUAUGAUGGUGCAAGUGGGUUUGGGAUGGUUGGCCUUCAAAAUCAAUUCAACGGUGCAGAGGAUGAGAGUUAUUGCAAUGAUGAAUUUGCAUCUGAUGUUGAAAAGAUCUAUAGAAUCUUAAGAAAAUUCCACUCUAGGGUCCCGAAGCUAGAGCUGGCCUUGCAAGAAUCUGGAAUCACUGUGCGUUCAGGCUUGGCUGAACGCGUCUUAAAUCGAUGUGGUGAUGCAGGGAACUUGGGGUACAGGUUCUUUGUGUGGGUGUCAAAGCAGCCUGGCUACAGACCCAGUUAUGAAGUUUACAAAGCCAUGAUCAAGUCAUUGGGGAAGAUGCGCCAAUUUGGUGCUGUUUGGGCACUACUCGAGGAGAUGAGGAAGGAGAACCCUCAGUUGAUAACAUCUGAAGUGUUUAUUGUUCUGAUGAGAAGGUUUGCUUCAGCUAGAAUGGUUAAAAAAGCAAUUGAAGUGUUGGAUGAAAUGCCCAAGUACGGCUGCGAACCCGAUGAGUAUGUCUUUGGUUGUUUGUUAGAUGCUUUGUGCAAGAAUGAUAGUGUUAAGGAAGCAGCUUCUUUAUUUGAAGACAUGAAGAUUCAGUUUAAGCCUAGUUUAAAGCAUUUUACUUCAUUGUUGUAUGGUUGGUGUAGAGAAGGGAAGCUUAUGGAGGCAAAAGUUGUACUGAUUCAGAUGAGAGAAGCGGGUUUUGAACCAGACAUUGUGGUUUAUAACAAUUUGCUUGGUGGGUAUUCUCAUGCUGGAAAAAUGGCGGACGCUUAUGAUCUUCUGAAAGAGAUGAAAGGGAAGGGCUGUGUUCCUACUGCAGUAUCGUAUACCAUUUUGAUUCAGGUUCUCUGCAAACAUGAGAAGAUGGAAGAAGCCAUGCGUAUUUUUAUUGAUAUGGAAAGGAGUGGCUGUCAUGCAGAUGCUAUGACUUACACUACUUUGAUAAGUGGGUUUUGUAAGUGGGGAAAGAUUGAAAAGGGUUAUGAGAUUUUGGAUAGUAUGAUCCAGCAAGGCCAUACUCCUAGUCAGAAUACCUAUUUGCAGAUUAUGUUGGCACACGAGAAGAAGGAAGAGCUGGAGGAAUGCUUGGAGCUCAUGGUGGAGAUGCAAAAGAUUGGUUCUGUUCCUGAUUUGAUCAUAUACAAUGCUGUGAUCCGGUUGGCAUGUAAACUAGGGGAAGUUAAAGAAGGUGUUCGAUUAUGGAAUGAAAUCGAAGCAACUGGGUUAAGUCCAGGGCUUGACACCUUUGUGAUUAUGAUUCAUGGCUUCCUUGGGCAAGGCUUUCUGGUUGAAGCUUGUCAAUACUUCAAAGAAAUGGUUGAGAGGGGUUUACUAUCUGCCCCACAAUAUGGUACGUUGAAGGAGCUAAUAAAUACUCUUUUACGAGCUGACAAGCUUGAAAUGGCUAAAGAUAUAUGGAGUUCCAUUGUGAAUAAAGGAUGUGAGAUUAAUGUUUCUGCCUGGACAAUAUGGAUUCAUUCACUGUACAAAAAUGGGCAUGUGAAGGAGGCUUGUUCCUACUGUUUGGACAUGAUAGAAGCGGAUGCAAUGCCACAAGCAGAUACUUUUGCUAAGUUAAUGCGUGGCUUAAGGAAACUAUAUAACAGAGAAAUUGCAGCUGAAAUUACGGAGAAGGUGAGGAAGAUGGCUGAAGAAAGACAGAUCACUUUUAAGAUGUAUAAGAGACGAGGAGAAAGGGAUUUGAUUGAAAAAGUGAAGGAGAAAGAUGAUGGGAGGAAACGAAGGGGUCGUAGACGACGCUGGGGUGGGGGGAGGCAUAGCAGUGCUAAAGCCUUGUAGUUUGAAUGAGUAAAUGAAACAAAGAAUAAGCUCUACUGAUUUGUUUGAGAAGAUUGCUUGCUUCACAUUAACAUUAAUUGGAUGCCCACUUUUGGCAGUGAGCACUAAAAUGUUAGUAUCCUUAGUUGUGAACUGCAGUGAAUUUGAAAACUACUUUUCAGAGAAGUGAUUAUUACAUUAUUCAGUGUGUAAAAAUUUCUGGUUUCAAUGCACUUGGCAAGAGUAGUCUUACCUUGAGAUGAAUAGAGAUUCACUUUGCACUUUUAGGAGCUUUUGUUGCGGAGAUCACCCCCUUUAUUAUCUAGAAGGCUACUCCUUGUGGUAAUGUUCUAAUUUAUGCAGUUAUGCCACAUUGAAAUCUUAUGGUCCUAUACUUGUAGCUUGUUGCAUAAUUAAUAUUUAAUAUGUAUGGAUUUAUGAAUAUUAAUUGUGACCGUUGUAAUACGUACGUAACACUAGAAGAUUUUCUUUUUGGUUGAAACUCAUGGAAGAUAACUCUGUCCUCCCUAGUUUGGCCAGGAGUUUUUCUAAUGAUUUUUAGUUCUCAAUAUUAACAGUGAUGCUAUACAUAGCCCUACUUUGUACUAAAUGAAUCCAUGGUAUUAUAUGAAGUUUUUUCAGGAGAAGAUAAAGCAGUAGUUAGAAGGGUUACUUGCUUGGAUGUUUCUGCAUUGUUAGAGUUAUGUCAUUUUCUUCGGUGAGAUACAUCGACAUGCCUUCAAAUAUUUUGGACUGGUACAACUUGUGUUUAAGGUACUUACAAAAUGUUAGCUAUUGGUAGUACUAGUACAUGAUAUCCUCCUACUUCUACUACUCUAGCCUUUCCUUUUUAGUUCUAUCAUUUUUUUAUCAAAUGAUGAAUGAUUGUCAGUCUUCUUUUUCAUUUUCUAAACAAUAAAAAAUAAUUUUUAAGCUAA
Molecule: RNA transcript, 4278 nt
Organism: Cannabis sativa
Lineage: Eukaryota; Viridiplantae; Streptophyta; Magnoliopsida; Rosales; Cannabaceae
Gene name: pentatricopeptide repeat-containing protein At3g49730
Exons: 6
Source: RefSeq, a predicted model, not a curated record